CGGGGUGAGUAAUGUCUGGGAAACUGCCUGAUGGAGGGGGAUAACCACUGGAAACGGUAGCUAAUACCGCAUAACGUCGCAAGACCAAAGAGGGGGACCUUAGGGCCUCUUGCCAUCGGAUGUGCCCAGAUGGGAUUAGCUAGUAGGUGGGGUAAUGGCUCACCUAGGCGACGAUCCCUAGCUGGUCUGAGAGGAUGACCAGCCACACUGGAACUGAGACACGGUCCAG
Molecule: ribosomal RNA, 229 nt
Filed under: uncultured bacterium
Lineage: Bacteria
Description: partial 16S ribosomal RNA
Rfam family: Bacterial small subunit ribosomal RNA
Source: RNAcentral